CAAGUUGAUGAAUUAGGAACAAUCCUUUGUCUGUUUUACAGGUGAAAAGAUGAUACCAAAAAAAGGUGAAGAAAGUGGGGUGGCAAAAAUUAAGUGACUAGACCAAGAUGACAUAUAACAUAAGACCAUAGAGAAGCAGUCAUUAUUUUUGUGGCUUAGAGUCUGGGUAUGUUUUUCCUUGUUGUUGGUCCGGAUUUGAAAGAAGUAAGCCCAAGGCAAAAACAAAGUUGGAAAAAUUUCAAGGUAAGUAUCUCCUUUCAACAUCUUUCAAUCAACAUGUAUUAAAUACCCAUAAAGUACUACAAUAUAUGAGGCCUGAGGGUAUAGAAAUGUGUAAAAUGGAAAGAAAAAACUCUUGACCUUAGAAAAACUUAAAAGAACAAUUCACAUACUGAACUAAUAGAAUUUCUUUGGAAUUUUCUGGUUUCUAAC
Non-coding RNA from Oryctolagus cuniculus (rabbit), 432 nucleotides. The record is from RefSeq and is a predicted model, not a curated record. NCBI's taxonomy places the organism in Eukaryota, Metazoa, Chordata, Mammalia, Lagomorpha, Leporidae.